ACAGAGGGUGCAAACGUUGUUCGGAAUGACUGGGCGUAAAGCGCGUGUAGGCGGUUCUGCAAGUCGGGUGUGAAAGCCCUGGGCUCAACCCAGGAAGUGCACUCGAAACUGCAGGACUGGAGUCCCGGAGAGGAAGGCGGAAUUCUCGGUGUAGAGGUGAAAUUCGUAGAUAUCGAGAGGAACACCGGUGGCGAAGGCGGCCUUCUGGACGGCGACUGACGCUGAGACGCGAAAGCGUGGGGAGCAAACAGGA
RNAcentral lists this ribosomal RNA (253 nucleotides) under uncultured prokaryote. RNAcentral describes it as "partial 16S ribosomal RNA". It matches the Rfam family "Bacterial small subunit ribosomal RNA", at positions 525 to 777 of the family's 1533-position model. The record is from RNAcentral.